UACGUAGGUGGCGAGCGUUGUCCGGAUUUACUGGGCGUAAAGGGAGCGUAGGCGGACAUUUAAGUGAGAUGUGAAAUACUCGGGCUCAACUUGAGUGCUGCAUUUCAAACUGGAAGUCUAGAGUGCAGGAGAGGAGAAUGGAAUUCCUAGUGUAGCGGUGAAAUGCGUAGAGAUUAGGAAGAACACCAGUGGCGAAGGCGAUUCUCUGGACUGUAACUGACGCUGAGGCUCGAAAGCGUGGGGAGCAAACAGG
RNAcentral lists this ribosomal RNA (253 nucleotides) under uncultured bacterium. Its description in RNAcentral is "partial 16S ribosomal RNA". It matches the Rfam family "Bacterial small subunit ribosomal RNA", at positions 524 to 776 of the family's 1533-position model. The record is from RNAcentral.